Molecule: ribosomal RNA, 494 nt
Filed under: uncultured eukaryote
Lineage: Eukaryota
Description: bacterial SSU rRNA
Rfam family: Eukaryotic small subunit ribosomal RNA
Source: RNAcentral
GGUUGUUAGUAUCUCCACUAAUAAGCAGAGAGGGGUAAAACUCUCAAAGUGAGUUAUGUGGUCAAGGUAUGAUGAUUAAUUGGAGUUCUAGUUCAUUUACUUUGAGAAAAAUUAGAGUGUUUUAAAGCAGCCUCUUGGGGCACUGAAUACAUUAGCAUGGGAUAAUAAAAUAGGAUCUUCACAAUAUAUUUUAUUGGUUUAAAUUGCGUAUGAAGAUAAUGAUUAAUAGGGACAGUUGGGGGUAUUCAUAUUGGGUGGUUAGCGGUGAAAUGCUCGGAUCCAUUCAAGAUGAACUAAAGCGAAGGCAUUUACCAAGGAUGUUUUCAUUAAUCAAGAACGAAAGUUAAGGGGAUCGAAGACGAUUAGAUACCGUCGUAGUCUUAACUAUAAACUAUGCCGACCAGGGAUAUGAGUUGUUAGGAAUAUGCGAAAGUAUAUUCAAUUUCUUCUUAUGGACCUUGUGAGAAAUCAUAAGUUUUUGGGUUCUGGGGGGA